GGAGAGGUGGCUCAGUGGUUAAAAGCACUGGCUACUUUUCCAGAGGACCUGGGUUCAAUUCCCAGCAACNACA
Molecule: transfer RNA, 73 nt
Organism: Neotoma lepida (desert woodrat)
Lineage: Eukaryota; Metazoa; Chordata; Mammalia; Rodentia; Cricetidae
Rfam family: tRNA
About the family: Transfer RNA (tRNA) molecules are approximately 80 nucleotides in length. Their secondary structure includes four short double-helical elements and three loops (D, anti-codon, and T loops).
Source: Rfam